UAGCUCAGUUGGUAGAGCACUGGUCUCCAAAACCAGGUGUCGGGAGUUCGAGUCUCUC
RNAcentral lists this transfer RNA (58 nucleotides) under Balneola sp. Its description in RNAcentral is "tRNA-Trp". It matches the Rfam family "tRNA", at positions 8 to 63 of the family's 71-position model. Rfam says of the family: Transfer RNA (tRNA) molecules are approximately 80 nucleotides in length. Their secondary structure includes four short double-helical elements and three loops (D, anti-codon, and T loops). Further hydrogen bonds mediate the characteristic L-shaped molecular structure. tRNAs have two regions of fundamental functional importance: the anti-codon, which is responsible for specific mRNA codon recognition, and the 3' end, to which the tRNAs corresponding amino acid is attached (by aminoacyl-tRNA synthetases). tRNAs cope with the degeneracy of the genetic code in two manners: having more than one tRNA (with a specific anti-codon) for a particular amino acid; and 'wobble' base-pairing, i.e. permitting non-standard base-pairing at the 3rd anti-codon position. The record is from RNAcentral. Lineage: Bacteria; Pseudomonadati; Balneolota; Balneolia; Balneolales; Balneolaceae.